CAGUUCGGAUUGCUGCUCAGGCUAUGUGUUCAACAAAACCAAAAACACAUGUGUUGUGUGUCCUGACGGAUAUUAUGGUCUUCACUGCAAGGAGACAUGUCCAUAUCCUUCCUAUGGGUUUUCAUGUCGCCAUCAAUGUACAUGUGAAAUGCAUCAGUGCAAUAACAUAAAAGGAUGCUCUUCAGAAACAAGUACUGAUAAAAGAUUUUUCCAAACAUCUGCAUCGAAAACACCAAAAUCAGUAUCAAAGAAAUCAAAGAAGACUAUGAUUUUAUCUAACGACUUGCAUGUUCAUACUGAUGAAUCAUCUUUCACAAAGACACAACCUCUGAUGUUAAACCCGAACAAAGAA
This is a long non-coding RNA of Magallana angulata, 352 nucleotides long. RefSeq lists it as uncharacterized. The record is from RefSeq and is a predicted model, not a curated record. The transcript is spliced from 3 exons. NCBI's taxonomy places the organism in Eukaryota, Metazoa, Mollusca, Bivalvia, Ostreida, Ostreidae.